CCUACGGGAGGCAGCAGUGAGGAAUAUUGGACAAUGGGCGCAAGCCUGAUCCAGCCAUGCCGCGUGCAGGAAGACGGUCCUAUGGAUUGUAAACUGCUUUUGUACAGGAAGAAACACUCCCUCGUGAGGGAGCUUGACGGUACUGUAAGAAUAAGGAUCGGCUAACUCCGUGCCAGCAGCCGCGGUAAUACGGAGGAUCCAAGCGUUAUCCGGAAUCAUUGGGUUUAAAGGGUCCGUAGGCGGUUUAAUAAGUCAGUGGUGAAAUCUGGUCGCUCAACGAUCAAACGGCCAUUGAUACUGUUAGACUUGAAUUAUUAGGAAGUAACUAGAAUAUGUAGUGUAGCGGUGAAAUGCUUAGAUAUUACAUGGAAUACCAAUUGCGAAGGCAGGUUACUACUAAUGGAUUGACGCUGAUGGACGAAAGCGUGGGGAGCGAACAGGAUUAGAUACCCUGGUAGUCCACGCCGUAAACGAUGGAUACUAGCUGUUCGGAGCAAUCUGAGUGGCUAAGCGAAAGUGAUAAGUAUCCCACCUGGGGAGUACGUUCGCAAGAAUGAAACUUAAAGGAAUUGACGG
This 576-nucleotide ribosomal RNA is filed under the name uncultured bacterium. RNAcentral's name for it is "bacterial SSU rRNA". It matches the Rfam family "Bacterial small subunit ribosomal RNA", at positions 338 to 916 of the family's 1533-position model. The record is from RNAcentral.